CUCCCAGACGCUAGUUGCUAGAAGAGUCCUGGCAGUGGAGAGAAAGUUGGCUCUGCACUGAAGGCUCCACAUAAAGGGCUCAAAACGUGUGGUUCAGUGGUUAAAAGCUGUUCACGGGGAUGACUGGACCUCACUAAGCAUUCUUUCAUCUGUAGUGAACAUUUCACCAAAAAAAGCUCUUGGAAAGGCUGGAGGGUCAGUAUUACAUGCUCAAGCCACGGCCGUGCCUUCCAUCUUCCACCUGACUGAGAAGGGGUGGCUGAAGGCCACGGCUGCCCCAGGAGAAAGGACACCAGGAAGGCCGCCGGGGACCUGAGGAACAUGCGAGUGAAGCAGAUGGGAAAGGAGCUGCAGGUUCAUCGUUGUCCUUGAGGGAAAACCUGAGGGCCCAGCCGGGGUCGCGCAAGUUGAAACGAGCCACUCUGCAGGGUGAAUCUGCACCCAGUGCCACCCAGGAAGCCGCCAGUCAGGAUUGGGCGCAGAGUCUCUGGAAGGAACUCCAGGAGACAGUGUGGCCUCCACAGCGUCAGGCAGCCAGGGAGAUGCAAACACAUCUGCUGUAGAUGCUGGCGAUGAAACCCCCUCUUCCCUGCCAGGGCCUGCUAGCUAAAAGUGGCAUUUCCGUGGGUGACUUUAUCCCUCAGAAUCUGGGAUGUGCAGAUUUAUUGGCUGGCUUCCUUCUUACAGUUUCUUCUCAGAGCACACUCGAGAGAGGCCAUCUGUCCCUUGAGAAGCUGUUGACCAAAAGAGGCUGAAGAGAGAUGUGGAGCCCAGCUGCAGCGGGAGCAGCCUGAGGCCUGAUGAGAGCUUGGCCCAGAACCCCCAAGUUCAUCAUUCACAAUGAUACCUCAGAAAGCCUCCCAGAGCCCCUCCACUCCAACAGACAUCACCCCGAAGCCAGCCACAGAAGCUGUGCAGGGCGAGCACAGCAACACCGGCCCCACGUCCCUCAGAAAGGUCAUCCUGUCAGCCCUGGGGGCCCAAGAACUCCUCGACUCACUGCACUCCUACUGCUUCUGCUCCCAGGGGGACAGGAGCACGAGUGCUGCCUGCGGGAGCAGGUGGAGACAGACUGAGAGCUGAAGAGGGGCAGCCGCCGACAGCCAGGUGCACACGCUGCAGGAGGAGCUGGACGAGCUGAAGGGAGGGGGCUCCCUGCCUUAGCAGCCUGCUGCCCCCCGCUGAGCGCCAGCUGCAGAGCUCCAGCCAGCAGCAGAAGCAGAGCAGUGGGCAGUGGUGGAGGUAGAGCUGGCUCCAGCUCUGUUGACAUCACCCCUUCUAGCAUUGGAGCCAGCGUCCCCUCCAUCAGAAGUAUUGGACCUGGAGCAAGGGCCAACAUCGGCUCCAGCAGGAGUGGGAGCUGCUGAGCUGGGGUCACCUGGACCAUCAUUUCUAGUGGGAAGUCCAUCUCCACCUGUGCUUGUUAAGCAGCGUGAGAAGAAGCCUAACCUCUUGGC
Molecule: long non-coding RNA, 1457 nt
Organism: Diceros bicornis minor
Lineage: Eukaryota; Metazoa; Chordata; Mammalia; Perissodactyla; Rhinocerotidae
Exons: 3
Source: RefSeq, a predicted model, not a curated record